CGAGGCUCUCGGCGGAGACAGAACAUGGCGGAGCUGGGAAGGGUUGCAGUUCGCGAUCCGGAUUCGCUGCUCCCUGGGGGCUUCUGGGCGGCGGUGGCCGUGUGGGUGGAGAGGCCGCAGGUGGCCAACAAGCGGCUGUGUGGCGUUCGCCUAGAGGCCCGGCGGAGCGUCUGCUUGCCCCGGGUCGAGCAUUCCGGCCCCCGGCCGAGCUCAGGCCCCGAGCCGGAGGAGCGUGCCCCGGCGGGAUGCGGGCCCAAGGAGGGGCCGGGACACGGCCAGUGUUUCCCCGAGGGGGGGCCGGGCCCUCGGCCGGGCGCAGUCCCCGAGCAGGGCCCCCAGGAGAACCAGGGCCGGCGCCAGCAAGGGGAGGACCAGCGGGAAGCAGCCAAAGCGCCUCUGCUCUCUGGGGCCCCUGGGCAGCCCGGCAAGGCUGGAGCCGGGGAGGGCGACUUCCCCGCCCCGGACCUGGAUUCUCUCUGGGACGAUUUCUCCCGGAGCCUCGCCAGCGGCAAUCGAGAGAUGCUAGCCUUCUUCACCCGCUCCGGGGCGGAAUCACAGCUAGAGGCUCAGCACGAGCUCGACGUGAUUCUCAGAACCGUCAUCCCAAAAAUGAACGCGCAUUCUUGUGCUCCGAAGAGAGAAAUAGUCGUGCAAGAUGUCCUCAAUGGAACCGUAAUUUUUUUACCUUUGGAAGAAGACAGUGAAGGGAAUUUAAAGGUUAAGACAAACAACGUGUAUCAAAUUCAGCUCAGUCAGAGCGAAGGAGAAUGGUUCAUAUCUGUUUUAAUUUUCUGUCCAGAAAGAUGGCAUUCAGAUGGCAUUGUGUAUCCCAAACCCACCUGGCUUGGAGAAGAGCUGCUGGCCAGAUUGGCCAGGUGGUGUGUGGAGAGCAGGCAGAGUGGGUUCAAAAGCACCCUGUCCCUCAUUUCCAUCAUGAAGUACAGCAGGGUUCACCAGGCGCUUAAAGAGAAGUAUAAAGACAUGACCAAGGUGUGGCCUGAAGUAACUGACCCUGAGAAGUUCGUGCAUGAAGACGUGGCUCUCGCUGCCUACCUGCUGAUUCUAUGGGAAGAAGAGAGAGCUGAGCGGGGAGAGACAGCCAGGCAGUGCUUUGUCGACCUCGGUUGUGGGAACGGCCUCCUGGUCCACAUCCUGAGCAGAGAAGGGCAUCCAGGCAGAGGGAUUGACGUCCGAAGACGAAAGGUUUGGGACAUGUACGGACCAGAGACGCACUUAGAGGAAAGUGCAAUCACACCAAAUGAUAAGACCCUCUUCCCGGACGUCGAUUGGUUAAUCGGAAACCAUUCCGAUGAACUAACGCCAUGGAUACCUGUGAUUGCGGCCAGGUCCUCCUACAACUGCCGCUUCUUUGUCCUGCCCUGCUGCUUCUUUGACUUCGUUGGGAAGUAUCAGCGGAGGCAGAGCAAGAAGACCCAGUACCGAGGGUACCUGGAUUUCAUCACCGAGGUGGGGUCGACCUGUGGCUUCCACGUAGAGGAGGAUUGUCUUAGGAUUCCUUCCACCAAGAGGGUGUGUCUCAUUGGGAAAUCCAGAACAUACCCGCCCGCUGGAGAAGAUUCUGUGGACGAGCGGAGAACCCGCUACAUUAACAGCAGGCGGGGCGGUCCUGUGAGCCCACCUGGCCAGGUCCCUGCCCCUCGUCCACCCGGGGCCGCCGCCGGUGGUGCCGAUGGCCCCGAGGGGCAUGGAGCCCUGGACGCCGGGGCCGGGCACACACCGGAGUCCCCCGCCGAAGGACUCUGGCUGUCUGGAUUUCGCCCCAGAGAAAAAGCCAAGCGCGUGAGGAACUGUGGCGCCCUCCCUCGAGAUUUUAUUGGCCGAGUGGUUUUGCAAGUGGCGAAUCUGUUGUUGGGCAGAAAGCAGUCAAACGUGACAAGCUCUCAGAGCAGGAGCGCGACGGCCUGGAGUCGGGGAGGUAACGGGCGCCCUGGGUCAGAGCAGGAGCGUGAAGGCCUGGAGUCGGGGAGGUAACGGGCGCCCUGGGUCAGAGCAGGAGCGUGAAGGCCUGGAGUCGGGGAGGUAACGGGUACCCUGGGUCAGAGCAGGAGCACGACGGCCUGGAGUCAGGGAGGUAACGGGUACCCUGGGUCAGAGCAGGAGCGCGACGGCCUGGAGUCGGGGAGGUAACGGGCGCCCUGGGUCAGAGCAGGAGCGCGAAGGCCGGUAACGGGCGCCCUGGGUCAGAGCAGGAGCACGACGGCCUGGAGUCGGGGAGGUAACGGGCGCCCUGGGUCAGAGCAGGAGCGUGAAGGCCUGGAGUCGGGGAGGUAACGGGCGCCCUGGGCACUGGCUGGGCUCCAGGCAGGGGCUCUUCUCUUCUCAGAGCCAACUUCAAACUGCGGUACGCGGGCCUCUCGCCGCUGUGGCCUCUCCCGCUGCGGAGCACAGGCUCCGGACGGACGUGCAAGCUCAGCGGCCGUGGCUCACGGGCCCAGCCGCUCUGCGGCACGCGGGACCCUCCCGGACUGGGGCACGAAACCAUGUCCCCUGCAUCGGCAGGCGGACUCUCAACCACUGCGCCGCCAGGGAAGCCCCCUUUAGUCAUUUUUUAAAUAUUUAUUUGGCCGCACCGGAUCUUAGUUGCCCGCCUGCGGGAUCUUCCUUGCGGCGUGCGGGAUCUUUAGUUGCAGCAAGUGGGCUCUUAGUUGCGGCAUGCAUGUGGAUCUAGUUCCCUGACCGGGGAUCAAACCUGGGCCCCCUGCCCUGGGAGCGUGGAGCCUUAACCACUGGACCACCAGGGACGUCCCUGUGUGGUCAUUUUUAAUUAAAUGUCACGAGGAGUCUUCAUCGUUUUUGUCAAGUCACUAGGAGUGUGCAGAUGGGCUGAGGGAAGGAGCUUGUUGGUGGGCUGCUGCCCGAGGGUGCUGUAGGGCUUCCUGAGCAGCCAGGCGCUCGCCCUCUGAGUUUUGGGGUCACUGGAGGAGUUGGAGGCCCCACCCUCAGCCUGUUGGGGAUGCUGCCCGCUGGCCCCGUGGGUGGGCCGGCCCAGGGAGGGGUGAGCAGUGGGUCCUUCUCCCCCCACAGCGUGGAUGGUGCUCUGCUGAGUCUCUCUUCAUCCUCACGCCCCUCCCAUCCCUCGUGUACGUGUGAUGCGGCAGUGACCUCGAGCUUGACCCCCUCCAGGGAUCACCUGACCCUGGGAGCAUCUGGUUGGGAGAGCCUCUCUGGGGACCUGGUGGCGGCCGUAGCCAGUGCCGCCCUGGUGGAGGGGGCUGACUGUCCGCAUAACUGCGGACAAGGCCCAGGUGCCUGGGGAGUUCUGUGGGUCGGCACCCCUUCCUCGGUGCGCCCUGCAGAGGCGGGCCAAGGUGGAGAGGGAGGACGCUGCCUCGGGGCUCGGACCUGCGGGCGGCUCUGAAAACAUAGACUCUGACCUUUAAUUCCCAGGAUGGUCCUUUCCUCUGCGGGGUCCUCUGGGAAUGACUGUGCCCAGGAAACGCUGGCCUGUGCCUGGGGUGGGACGCCCUGAUAGUGAGCAAAGAUGGGGUCUCUACCUGGGCUCAGUUUGGGUGGGUAGCGGUGGCUCCAAUGAUGAUGGGGUCUCAGGCCUGCCCGCCCGUUGGAAACGUCGGGGAGCCGGGGUGCCGUCCUCCCCGGGUGGGUCUCCAACAGCCGGGCUGGUCUGAGGUACUCCCACUGCCCCGCCCGGCGUGAGAAGCCUAUCCCGGCGGGGGCCUCGCAGCUGCACACUCCGCCCUUGGUCACUGGACUUAGUGACCCCUGCCCCAGCGUCAGGCUCAGGACCCCCAGUGUGUUUGAGCCCUGCGCGACGUCAGUGAGCGGGUCUGUCCCCAGGACCUCACUCAUCCCAGGCUGGGGUCUACCCUCUGCCAGGCAUGGCGGAGGGGACGCCGGGUGGGAGGUGGCAGGCUCGGGACACGCGCACGUGGAAGGGAGAGAGGCAGCGGUGCGGAGCUGCACGUGGAGCCCGCGUCGUGGGGCUCUAGGCUGGGGGGUGGGGGAGGAGGGCAGGCUUCUGGGCCAGGAUUUAAUUUUCCCCCGGACUUCCCGUCUCCUCUCAGAAGGGGUUCCAGGUGGCUGCGAGGCGGGCUUGGUGCGUGGAAUGGCAGUCCCCGCCCCGAGCAGCGGCUGGGUCACGCGGCAGGGCUGACUUGCUGUGUCUGGGAGGCUCGGGGGUCAGACACGGCACGCGCGGCCUGACAUCUCAGGGAGCCUGUCCUUGGCGGAAGUGGCCGGGGAGCUGGACAGGGAGACGCUGCAGAAGCUGAAGCGGGAGUGCGGGGGCCUGCAGACGCUGCUGAGGAACAGCUCGCAGGUGUUCCAAG
RNA transcript from Globicephala melas (long-finned pilot whale), 4307 nucleotides. It is a transcript of the gene named tRNA methyltransferase 44 homolog, with no coding region annotated. The record is from RefSeq and is a predicted model, not a curated record. NCBI's taxonomy places the organism in Eukaryota, Metazoa, Chordata, Mammalia, Artiodactyla, Delphinidae.